This is a non-coding RNA of Paramuricea clavata, 284 nucleotides long. The record is from the annotation of a GenBank genome assembly. Lineage: Eukaryota; Metazoa; Cnidaria; Anthozoa; Malacalcyonacea; Plexauridae.
GGAGUUCAAAAUGGUGGUCAUCUCGAGCGUUUUGUUUUGUUGAAGUCUGUGAUAUUUCAUCUUUUUAUGUUGUUUCUGAAUAAAAUUUACACAUUAAUGAAUCCAGGAAUAAUUUGGCCUAGAUCGAAGAGCCGUUUGAUGCUUUAAAAAGCUUACUAUACCGAAUAUAGAAACGUUUGUAUGGGGUAUGGAAGAUAGCACUUGAGUAUAAAUUCAGUGGGCAGAAAGAAUGUCCGCUGUUUUUACCAUUGGUGAAACCGAUUUUGAUGAUCUUGAUGACGAGG